Molecule: small nuclear RNA, 155 nt
Organism: Solanum stenotomum
Lineage: Eukaryota; Viridiplantae; Streptophyta; Magnoliopsida; Solanales; Solanaceae
Product: U4 spliceosomal RNA
Exons: 1
Source: RefSeq, a predicted model, not a curated record
AUCUUUGCGCUUGGGGCAAUGACACAGCUAGUGAGGUUCUAACCGAGGCGCGUCUAUUGCUGGUUGAAAACUAUUUCCAAAUCCCCUCUUCGGCCUUGGUUUUGCCUUGGCCCAUUGAGAAUUUUUGAGAGGGCUCCCUCAUCAAGGGUAAAGCC